UACGAAGGGGGCUAGCGUUGUUCGGAUUUACUGGGCGUAAAGCGCACGUAGGCGGAUCGUUAAGUCGGGGGUGAAAUCCUGGAGCUCAACUCCAGAACUGCCUCCGAUACUGGGAGCCUUCGAGUCCGGGAGAGGUGAGUGGAACUGCGAGUGUAGAGGUGAAAUUCGUAGAUAUUCGCAAGAACACCAGUGGCGAAGGCGGCUCACUGGCCCGGUACUGACGCUGAGGUGCGAAAGCGUGGGGAGCAAACAGG
RNAcentral lists this ribosomal RNA (254 nucleotides) under uncultured bacterium. Its description in RNAcentral is "partial 16S ribosomal RNA". It matches the Rfam family "Bacterial small subunit ribosomal RNA", at positions 524 to 776 of the family's 1533-position model. The record is from RNAcentral.